Pseudophryne corroboree (corroboree frog) is the source of this 702-nucleotide long non-coding RNA. RefSeq lists it as uncharacterized. Lineage: Eukaryota; Metazoa; Chordata; Amphibia; Anura; Myobatrachidae. The transcript is spliced from 4 exons. The record is from RefSeq and is a predicted model, not a curated record.
UCUGUGAGGAGACCUGCAAAACAUGCACCGUGUGGGCUCCUGAGGACUGAGUUUGAGAACCUGUGGUUUAAAGAGCCCGGCGCGCAAGCGCAUUGGCGAGCGGCACGGGUUGCCAUGGCAACCAAGCCGGGACCCGAUCGUCACGCAACAGCCACGGGACACCGGAAGCUGACGGAUGGAGGGUGCGACACGAUAGUCCACAGGACGCCGGAAGUAACCCGGUGCCCGGCGGCGCGGGCGAUGCUCCUCCUCACCUUCCCUCACUCACAGCACAGAUCUUUAAAAGUGCUGUGCAGGCCUCCGGCGGGUUGCCAUGGAAAUGGCGCUGGAGAGCGCACGUCGCCUCCUGGUGACGUCAUCAGCCCCCGUCCAGGAAGCACUCACAGCGUUCGUGAUGGUCUGUGUCAGGCUCUAUUUAAGAUUCCAUACCUUUGGAGACAUAAAUCCACAUGUUGAACAAAGUGAUAUUGGGAAUUACCCUUUUGAUGUCCUCUGAUACCUACCCUUGAAGUCAUCAGGACAAAACGCGUAGGAUGAAAAGUUUAUUUGUCCAAUUCGAAGAUCCUUCCCUGAGCUCACACCUGAAUAAGGAGGAGGAAGGUUAUUGCGACAACUUUCCUGUAUUGGUCAUGGAUCAUUGAUUAUAUUUAUGCAUGUAAAAAUUACAAUUUUAUGAAAGCCUAUUUUAAAACUGAAAAUAAA